UUUUUUUUGGUUCUUUUUCCGGAGCUGGGGACCGAACCCAGGGCCUUGCGCUUCCCAGGCAAGCGCUCUACCACUGAGUUAAAUCCCCAACCCCUAAUCUAUCAUUUAAAGAGUUAUUUUAUUUUAUUCUUUUCAAUACACUGUUGGUCUCUUCAGACACACCAAAAGAGGGCAUUGGACCCCAUCAUAGAGGGUUGUGAGCCACCAAGUGGUUGCUGGGAAUUGAACUCAGGACCUCUGGAAAAGGAAUUAGUGCUCUUAACUGCUGAGUCAUCUCUCCAGGCUCUACAAACUAUAUUUAAGUUACAAAAUACAUCCAAUUUCAAGGUUACUCGGUAAUAUUACCUUUACAGGUACUAUGCCCAAUGAACACCAAUCUAAAACCU
Molecule: long non-coding RNA, 386 nt
Filed under: Rattus norvegicus (Norway rat)
Lineage: Eukaryota; Metazoa; Chordata; Mammalia; Rodentia; Muridae
Description: long non-coding RNA NONRATT017740
Source: RNAcentral